AUGGGACAAUCCACUUCCUCUCAAACUUGCUAUGUUAGACUGUUAAUGUCGUUAAUUGAGAAUGGAGGGAGUAAGGUCUCACAAGCCAAAAUCAAGUCGUUACUCAAGGUGAUUCAAAAAGCUUAUCCUGAAUCUCCCCCAAUGGGAGUUCUAAAUGUUAAUGAGUGGGACCUGAUAGGACAAAAAUUGAAAAAAUAUAAGAAAGAGGGACACAAAGUUAUACAGACAAUCUUGAAUACGUGGAGCAUCGUCAUGAUGAGCUUAGCUGAUCAGCCUCUUCAAACCUCAGAUAAUAAGGAGAAAAAAUCUUUGCAAAAUCAAGAGACAAAGCCGCAUGCUUCUGAGUCGCAAAACUCACAUGCUGAAAGUGGCAACCAGCCCCCACUCUUUCGGGAACUGCCUGCUGCUCCAAGCUAUCCCUCAGAAGGGAUGGAAGCAAAAGAGCAAUUUACAAGCUCAGAGAUUUAUCCUCCUAUUCAUUCAAUCACUGCUAAUGCAUGCCACUCCCCACCCUCACCACCAGCCAAUGGGUCGGCUUUACAAACCUCUGCUGUGGCCACCCCUCCCCCACCUCGAUCUCCUGAGGUUACAAAACCUGUAUCAAACAGGAAAGUUCCUCACAAAAAUCCAGCAAAGGAAAAAGAGGAUAUUUCAGCAUUCCCAGUCAUAUUUACAGAAAAUCCAGAUAAUGCAGAUGAGCAAUUGACAGAGCAUGAGCCUUUGGACUAUAAAUUGUUGAAGGCACGGAGAAAUAGUGUGCUUAAGAAUGGCAGUACUGCUCCAUUCACAAUGGCGCUCCUUACAAAUUUGACACAGCAAACUCUUACACCAGGAGAUUGGAAUCUGGUAGCUGAAUCUGCCCUUAGUGGUGGUGAAUACUUAAUUUGGAAAAUGAAGUUUCAGGAUUUUUGUUCGUCACAAGCCUCGGCCAAUAGGCAGGCUGGCGUUAGUAUCCCGUAUGAACAAUUAGUGGGACAGGGAGAAUAUGAACCUGUUGCUAGGCAAAUCGCAGUCACUGCACAAGUUUAUAGUCAAAUUGCCCUCCCUGCAAAAAGGGCGUGGCAAGCUCUACCAGGGAAAGCCCCCCCCCCCCCUUACCUCUUACACAGAAAUAAUACAGAAACAAAAUGA
Molecule: long non-coding RNA, 1131 nt
Filed under: Monodelphis domestica (gray short-tailed opossum)
Lineage: Eukaryota; Metazoa; Chordata; Mammalia; Didelphimorphia; Didelphidae
Description: lncRNA (ENSMODG00000048563.1)
Source: RNAcentral